UAACAAGGUCUCCGUUGGUGAACCAGCGGAGGGAUCAUUACCGAGUUUACAACUCCCAAACCCCUGUGAACAUACCACUUGUUGCCUCGGCGGAUCAGCCCGCUCCCGGUAAAACGGGACGGCCCGCCAGAGGACCCCUAAACUCUGUUUCUAUAUGUAACUUCUGAGUAAAACCAUAAAUAAAUCAAAACUUUCAACAACGGAUCUCUUGGUUCUGGCAUCGAUGAAGAACGCAGCAAAAUGCGAUAAGUAAUGUGAAUUGCAGAAUUCAGUGAAUCAUCGAAUCUUUGAACGCACAUUGCGCCCGCCAGUAUUCUGGCGGGCAUGCCUGUUCGAGCGUCAUUUCAACCCUCAAGCACAGCUUGGUGUUGGGACUCGCGUUAAUUCGCGUUCCCCAAAUUGAUUGGCGGUCACGUCGAGCUUCCAUAGCGUAGUAGUAAAACCCUCGUUACUGGUAAUCGUCGCGGCCACGCCGUUAAACCCCAACUUCUGAAUGUUGACCUCGGAUCAGGUAGGAAUACCCGCUGAACUUAAGCAUAUCAAUAU
This 546-nucleotide ribosomal RNA is filed under the name uncultured fungus. RNAcentral's name for it is "eukaryotic LSU rRNA". The stretch from base 189 to 342 matches the Rfam family "5.8S ribosomal RNA". Lineage: Eukaryota; Fungi. The record is from RNAcentral.